UACGUAGGUGGCAAGCGUUGUCCGGAAUUAUUGGGCGUAAAGCGCGCGCAGGCGGUCCUUUAAGUCUGAUGUGAAAGCCCACGGCUCAACCGUGGAGGGUCAUUGGAAACUGGGGGACUUGAGUACAGAAGAGAAGAGUGGAAUUCCACGUGUAGCGGUGAAAUGCGUAGAGAUGUGGAGGAACACCAGUGGCGAAGGCGACUCUUUGGUCUGUAACUGACGCUGAGGCGCGAAGGCUAGGGGAGCGAACUGG
RNAcentral lists this ribosomal RNA (253 nucleotides) under uncultured bacterium. Its description in RNAcentral is "partial 16S ribosomal RNA". It matches the Rfam family "Bacterial small subunit ribosomal RNA", at positions 524 to 776 of the family's 1533-position model. The record is from RNAcentral.